CGGCUUCCUACGGGAGGCAGCAGUGGGGAAUAUUGGACAAUGGGGGGAACCCUGAUCCAGCCAUGCCGCGUGUGUGAAGAAGGCCUUAUGGUUGUAAAGCACUUUAAGCGAGGAGGAGGCUACUAGUAUUAAUACUACUGGAUAGUGGACGUUACUCGCAGAAUAAGCACCGGCUAACUCUGUGCCAGCAGCCGCGGUAAUACAGAGGGUGCGAGCGUUAAUCGGAUUUACUGGGCGUAAAGCGUGCGUAGGCGGCCAUUUAAGUCAAAUGUGAAAUCCCCGAGCUUAACUUGGGAAUUGCAUUCGAUACUGGAUGGCUAGAGUAUGGGAGAGGAUGGUAGAAUUCCAGGUGUAGCGGUGAAAUGCGUAGAGAUCUGGAGGAAUACCGAUGGCGAAGGCAGCCAUCUGGCCUAAUACUGACGCUGAGGUACGAAAGCAUGGGGAGCAAACAGGAUUAGAUACCCCGGUAGUCCAAGCCG
This 479-nucleotide ribosomal RNA is filed under the name uncultured bacterium. Its description in RNAcentral is "bacterial SSU rRNA". It matches the Rfam family "Bacterial small subunit ribosomal RNA", at positions 332 to 802 of the family's 1533-position model. The record is from RNAcentral.